AAGUCGUAACAAGGUUUCCGUAGGUGAACCUGCGGAAGGAUCAUUACAAGUAAAGACGUGUUUCCGGCACGAAUUUUCCAACCCCUCCGUGUAUCCUUCCCGUUGCUUCCGUGCCGCGUACGCUGCGAAGCGUGCCUGCGCUCCCCGACGCGUCACCCGGCGCGACGGUGGUCCGGUAGAGUCGGCACGGGAGGUCUACCGCAAACCCGUGAACUUUCAUGCCAUCCGUCUGAAAUGCCAAACACAAAACGUUAAAACUUUCAACAACGGAUCUCUUGGUUCUCGCAUCGAUGAAGAACGCAGCGAAAUGCGAUAAGUAGUGUGAAUUGCAGAAUUCCGUGAAUCAUCGAAUCUUUGAACGCACAUUGCGCCUCCCGGUAUUCCGGGAGGCAUGCCUGUCCGAGCGUCGUUACAAUCACCUCAAGCGAGCCCCAGCUUGGAUGUGGUGGAAGAGACCCGUGGUGAUGCACAGUCUCCCCGCCGAAAUACAACGUGGCGGAACGUCUCUGGUCCCUGGCGUAGUAAUAACGUUCGCCUUGUACCCGGACUCAUUCCAGCCGUUUGACCCCCAUAAUUCUCUUGAUGACCUC
Molecule: ribosomal RNA, 590 nt
Filed under: uncultured Pyronemataceae
Lineage: Eukaryota; Fungi; Ascomycota; Pezizomycetes; Pezizales; Pyronemataceae
Description: eukaryotic LSU rRNA
Rfam family: 5.8S ribosomal RNA (bases 256-409)
Source: RNAcentral